This 971-nucleotide long non-coding RNA is filed under the name Homo sapiens (human). RNAcentral describes it as "HSALNT0385950". Lineage: Eukaryota; Metazoa; Chordata; Mammalia; Primates; Hominidae. The record is from RNAcentral.
CGCCACUCACUCCUGAGCCUGACAGCCAAGCUGGAUGAGAAUGAAUGGGGCUCUGUGAGGCAUCUUGCAGCUCCCUCGACAAUGCUCUGCCCGUACACUCUGUUCUCGUGGUUUCUGUCUCCUCUUCUGUGUUUACAGGGUUGGGCAGCUGCUACAGCCCUUGCCUCUUCCCUGAGUGCCUCAGAGUGACAGAGAUGAAGAAGCCACUUGGCUCUAGGAAGUGUGGCCUGGCUUUGAUAUGGUUUGGCUUUGUGUCCCCACCUAAAUCUCAUCUGGAAUUGUAAUCCCCCAUGUGUAGACGGAGGGAGGUGAUUGGAUCAUGGAGGCAGUUUCCCCCAAGCUGUUCUCAUGAUAGUGAGUGAGUUCUCACGAGAUCUGAUGGUUUUAUAAGUGUAUGGAAAGCUCCUCCUUUACUCACUCUUCUCUCUCUUGCUGCCUUGUGAAGAAGGUGACUGCUUCCCCUUCUGCCAUGAUUAUGAGUUUCCUGAGGCCUCCCCAGCCAUGCGGAACUGCAGCUCACUAUGAGGCUAUCACAAAUCAAUGGAAGCACAUUUGGUGAAGAGUACAGGCCCAUCAGAGGAUACCACUGAAUCCAUGCUCCACAGCAGUUCCCAGCAAGCUGCACUCUUCGAAGGCGGGAUGCUGAAACCUCUGCCCCCACCCCCUACAUUAGCUUUAUAUCCAAAUGUGACUCGGAGGCUGGUGAGCUCAAGGUGAUCAAUGACAGCUCCAAUCAAAGCCACCCAGUAGACAGUGCACUCACCACUCCUUGAUAUAAAAGGUGUUUUAUUUCUCAUCCUUUUAUUUUUGUCACUGAAAGAAUGCUUCCCAUGUGUGGAUUAAUUAAAGUGUAAACAUUAAAUAUUGAUUGAUGCAUUAUCAGCAUGGAGCAGUGGCCUCCUGUCUGAUUGAUUCCUGCAGUGAUUUAUUGUCAUAUUUGGGGAGUCAUUUCAUUUGAUAACCAAGAGGGA